GCCGGUGUAUGUUCCCUAAUGCAAAAUGUGACAGCUUUCUGGAUCAGCGUGUCAUUCCUUGAACAAUCUCGCCAUUUGAAUGUGUAUGCCACUGUACACAUAUAGCGGUAGAUGGUUAGACGACAAAAAAUUGACAUGCCAAUUACAUAUCUUACUCACUAAGAUCUAAGUGACUAAAAUUCAAAAUAGAGACACAAUAGUAAAGCACCACGCCCAUGGUCCCGUCAUGUACCUAGUUCAGAUAUAAUAUUUCAUAUCACAACUAAGGAAUCAACUGAUAAGCAACAGCCUCGUUAGCAAGAGGAAUAAACUAAAGUAAUCCCUUUUCAAAUCCACCAAGCAGUUCAUGUAUAUGACGUCCUGGCAAGUCUAAAGUAGUAACACACCAACUCAAACACUAAGGAGUGGAUAAUUGAACUGAGGAUGAUGUCAAAUAUAUGUUUGGCAGUGUAACAAACAAGAUAAGUAGUACAAUAUCAACCCUAAAAGGGAUUUAAGGCUAAAUCUACCCACAGUGUAGUUUGUUUCAAUGAGGCUUCACAUUCUGAACCAUACCACCACAAUUUGUUCCUAGGUCCAAAAUUGCAGCUCUGAUUUUUAUCCAUAAUAUCACUUGAAACAAUACAACUAUUCAAAUAGUGAACGGAAGAACAACCUACAAGGUUACAACCAGAAUAUGUCUCGUUAAGGAGCAAUAAUAUUCUGGGUGAAAUAGUCUUAGGUGUAGAAUGUUUAGAUGGCUUCAACUGAUUAGUGUGUGUUAUUUCUCAGGCCUAUGGAGCAGAUAGGAAGGAACUCAGAGCUACACUACCCUGAGGGCUGUGUUUGCAUUUUUUGAUCACCUUUUCAUACGCACACGAGAUAAAGCUAUAAGUACAACAAAUAAUUGUGAUGGUAAAAUGAUUGGGCUUCAUCAAGCAUAGUGACUGAAAUGGUUUGUCUUAAAUGUAGGAAUUUCCUUCCUUGUCAAUGUUUCCUUUCUCUAACUGUAAACACUAUUCUCGUGUAUUUCCCGUUUUCCUCUAUUCUUCCAUCUUAGAUUGUAAUAAAUUCGGGUGUAGCACAACUACACAGUGUUUUUUCAACUUGAGUUGUUUUUACAUUCAAAUCACCAUUUUACGUCAUUACUUGAGUUGAGGGUUUUGCAAAACAGUCUCUCAACCUCCUUGAGGUAGGGAUGAGGUCGGGGUACACUCUAACUUUCUCUUGCUACACUUGUGAGAUUAUACUAGGUAUGUUGUUAUCACCAUUUUACCUCGUUUAUUCAUUAGAUCAUCUUAACAGUGUAAAUAGACGUUAACCUAUCUUGGUCCCCUCAGUAGUCACUACACCCUAGCAGGGUCCUAUCAACUUUUAUAAAUAAGAAAGCACAACCAGUUGUAUUAGUAAAGUCUCAAGUUAGAGUAAUCUUCUCUCCAAAAUUCUCUCUGAAGAGAACAGAAAUGAAACAGAUCCAACUAAGCAGCAUAUAGAAAACGGUAGUACCCGAGCUCAAGCAUGUAAAGCUUGAUGUAUAAGCAGAAUAUCAACAUUUUGUAUAAGCAGAAUAUCAACAUGAGUAGGCUAUAUGUCGAAAUCAUAUAUCUAAAGAUUAGCAUGUUUAUUAAUCACAAUAGAUAAACAAGAGUCAUCGAGCAAGUUGAACGAGCCUUCCCCCAUCACAGAACUAUCGAAAUACAAACUUUCAACAUAUAUUCAAAAGAAAUUAGUAAAUCAAAUGAAAUCCAGAAUGUAAAAAGACCAAUA
RNAcentral lists this long non-coding RNA (1746 nucleotides) under Solanum tuberosum (potato). Its description in RNAcentral is "long non-coding RNA (STUB_LNC008064)". The record is from RNAcentral. Lineage: Eukaryota; Viridiplantae; Streptophyta; Magnoliopsida; Solanales; Solanaceae.